Molecule: ribosomal RNA, 229 nt
Filed under: uncultured bacterium
Lineage: Bacteria
Description: partial 16S ribosomal RNA
Rfam family: Bacterial small subunit ribosomal RNA
Source: RNAcentral
CGGGGUGAGUAAUGUCUGGGAAACUGCCUGAUGGAGGGGGAUAACUACUGGAAACGGUAGCUAAUACCGCAUAACGUCUUCGGACCAAAGUGGGGGACCUUCGGGCCUCACGCCAUCGGAUGUGCCCAGAUGGGAUUAGCUAGUAGGUGGGGUAAUGGCUCACCUGGGCGACGAUCCCUAGCUGGUCUGAGAGGAUGACCAGCCACACUGGAACUGAGACACGGUCCAG